AUACGUAGGGGGCGAGCGUUGUCCGGAAUGAUUGGGCGUAAAGGGCGCGUAGGCGGCCCGGUAAGUCUGGAGUGAAAGUCCUGUUUUUAAGAUGGGAAUUGCUUUGGAUACUGUCGGGCUUGAGUGCAGGAGAGGUAAGUGGAAUUCCCAGUGUAGCGGUGAAAUGCGUAGAGAUUGGGAGGAACACCAGUGGCGAAGGCGACUUACUGGGCCGUAACUGACGCUGAGGCGCGAAAGCGUGGGGAGCGAACAGGAUUAGAUACCCUGGUAGUCCACGCGGUAAACGAUGAAUGCUAGGUGUAGGGGGUAUCGACCCCUUCUGUGCCGGAGUAAACGCAAUAAGCAUUCCGCCUGGGGAGUACGGCCGCAAGGUUGAAACUCAAAUGAAUUGACGGGG
Molecule: ribosomal RNA, 397 nt
Filed under: uncultured bacterium
Lineage: Bacteria
Description: partial 16S ribosomal RNA
Rfam family: Bacterial small subunit ribosomal RNA
Source: RNAcentral